AGAGUUUGAUCCUGGCUCAGAUUGAACGCUGGCGGCAGGCCUAACACAUGCAUGUCGAGCGGAUGAAGAGAGCUUGCUCUCUGAUUCGGCGGCGGACGGGUGAGCAAUGCCUAGGAAUCUGCCUGGUAGUGGGGGACAACGUUUCGAAAGGAACGCUAAUACCGCAUACGUCCUGCGGGAGAAAGCAGGGGACCUUCGGGCCUUGCGCUAUCAGAUGAGCCUAGGUCGGAUUAGCUAGUUGGUGGGGUAAUUGCUCACCAAGGCGACGAUCCGUAACUGGUCUGAGAGGAUGAUCAGUCACACUGGAACUGAGACACGGUCCAGACUCCUACGGGAGGCAGCAGUGGGGAAUAUUGGACAAUGGGCGAAGGCCUGAUCCAGCCAUGCCGCGUGUGUGAAGAAAGCCUUCGGGUUGUAAAGCACUUUCAGCGAGGAAGAACGCCUUGGGAUUAAUACUCCCGAGGAAAGACAUCACUCGCAGAAGAAGCACCGGCUAACUCCGUGCCAGCAGCCGCGGUAAUACGGAGGGUGCAAGCGUUAAUCGGAAUUACUGAGCGUAAAGCGCGCGUAGGUGGCUAAGUCAGCCAGGUGUGAAAGCCCCGGGCUCAACCUGGGAACUGCAUUCAAAACUGACAAGCUAGAGUAUGGUAGAGGGUGGUGGAAUUUCCUGUGUAGCGGUGAAAUGCGUAGAGAUCGGGAGGAAUACCAGUGGCGAAGGCGGCCUUCUGGACUGACACUGACACUGAGGUGCGAAAGCGUGGGUAGCAAACAGGAUUAGAUACCCCGGUAGUCC
Molecule: ribosomal RNA, 793 nt
Filed under: uncultured bacterium
Lineage: Bacteria
Description: bacterial SSU rRNA
Rfam family: Bacterial small subunit ribosomal RNA
Source: RNAcentral